This is a long non-coding RNA of Silurus meridionalis, 1330 nucleotides long. RefSeq lists it as uncharacterized. The record is from RefSeq and is a predicted model, not a curated record. The transcript is spliced from 5 exons. NCBI's taxonomy places the organism in Eukaryota, Metazoa, Chordata, Actinopteri, Siluriformes, Siluridae.
UAUUGAUAAUUUGUCAGAGAGUAUGAGGAGGUAUAUGGAACAGAAAGUUAAGGAGAAGUAUCAUAUAUGAAAAGAGAAUUCAUCAGAAAGUAUACUAGACACAGAGUUUAAUUUAUAUUAUAUUAUAUAUAAUUUAUAGUUAGAGAGUGUGCUUGUGGCGGUCAAGCUUACAUCUCCAGGCAAGGACGACAUAUGCUAUGAGAUGAUAACGCAUUUAUCGGACUUAUCUUUGAGUAUGAUUCUUUAGCAAGAUGACUUUUUAGCAAAAUAUGAGAAUGAGGGAAUUUGCCUGCAGAUUGGAAGCAUGGGAUAGUAGUGCCUAUAGCCAAACCAGGGAAAGACCACUCUCAGCCAAUUAACUAUAAACCUAUUGCGCUGACAUCAAAUUUAUGUAAAUGUGGUAGAGCGGCCUUACGGGUUCGCCUUCUACCCAUAUGAUGGCAAUACUCGCUGUGAUGUUCCGUGUAAAGUUGUGUUUAUCUACAGCGUGCUCAAGUGCAAAGUCCAAAAUAUAUAUAAUACCCCAGAAAAGAAAAAGUGGGAAAAUAACAAAACAAGGACAAUUACGAGGACAGUAAAGAAAACUAUAUACAAAAUAGGCGCACCAAUUCACUACAAUAGUUCUCAGACUCCGUUAUCGCCACAAUGCAUUAUGGCUGGUUUAUAUAGUGUAAGCCCCUCCCCUUGGACUCAACCAUUUUACCCAAAGGGGUUUGGUAUUUUGUAGCCAGUCACAAAAUGGCUUAAUAACAUUGUGAAUAUCAUAAUAAAUAAUAAACAUGACAACAACAACAAUAAUAAUACUAAUAAUAGCAAUAAUAAUAAUAACAGAAAUUCACAAAAUCAAUAAUAAUAAUAAUAAUAAUAAUCACACACAAAAAAAUGUCCCUUCAACAUAAGCUUGCCGACUUCCGGGUUUACUGCGCUGGCACUUUAAAGCCGGCCGCUAUUCAGCGUUCCGGUUGGCUGCCAUCCAAACCCAACCCGGAAGCCAGACGCAACUAACAGAUCAGUAGGUGGCAAUAAUGCAUAUGUCCGUUGGUCUGCCAAACCGCCAUAAAACACCAGAAGAAGAAGAAGAAGAAGAAGCAACAGCAGCAGCAGCAGCAGCAGCAGCAGAUGGAGGUGGAAAUGUUUGGAGAAAGCUGCUCCGUGAAUAAACAAGGAUUCUCACCCAUUCAGCUCAAAUUUAUGGGUGAAGACGCCACUGGUUUCCUGUUGAUUGCCUUCUGCCAUGCAGUGGAAUUGAAAAAAGAAGGAAACCAAGGAAGAAUGCUUGAUGAAUUUCUGCAUCAAGUUGAUUUAAAGUCAUCUGAUGUAACUUAUGCGC